RNAcentral lists this ribosomal RNA (304 nucleotides) under uncultured bacterium. RNAcentral's name for it is "partial 16S ribosomal RNA". It matches the Rfam family "Bacterial small subunit ribosomal RNA", at positions 506 to 809 of the family's 1533-position model. The record is from RNAcentral.
CAGCAGCAGCCGCGGGAAUACAGAGGGUGCGAGCGUUAAUCGGAUUUACUGGGCGUAAAGCGUGCGUAGGCGGCUUCUUAAGUCGGAUGUGAAAUCCCUGAGCUUAACUUAGGAAUUGCAUUCGAUACUGGGAAGCUAGAGUAUGGGAGAGGAUGGUAGAAUUCCAGGUGUAGCGGUGAAAUGCGUAGAGAUCUGGAGGAAUACCGAUGGCGAAGGCAGCCAUCUGGCCUAAUACUGACGCUGAGGUACGAAAGCAUGGGGAGCAAACAGGAUUAGAUACCCGUGUAGUCCCUGUCUCUUAUAA